GUGGCUGUAGCUCAGUUGGUAGAGCCCUGGAUUGUGAUUCCGGUUGUCGUGGGUUCGAGCCCCAUCAGCCACCCCA
RNAcentral lists this transfer RNA (76 nucleotides) under Neisseria meningitidis. RNAcentral describes it as "tRNA-His". It matches the Rfam family "tRNA". From Rfam's summary of the family: Transfer RNA (tRNA) molecules are approximately 80 nucleotides in length. RNAcentral also lists the same sequence under 1 other name. Lineage: Bacteria; Pseudomonadati; Pseudomonadota; Betaproteobacteria; Neisseriales; Neisseriaceae. The record is from RNAcentral.